CUCGUAGGCGGUUCGUCGCGUCCGGUGUGAAAGUCCAUCGCUUAACGGUGGAUCCGCGCCGGGUACGGGCGGGCUUGAGUGCGGUAGGGGAGACUGGAAUUCCCGGUGUAACGGUGGAAUGUGUAGAUAUCGGGAAGAACACCAACGGCGAAGGCAGGUCUCUGGGCCGUCACUGACGCUGAGGAGCGAAAGCGUGGGGAGCGAACA
This 207-nucleotide ribosomal RNA is filed under the name uncultured bacterium. Its description in RNAcentral is "partial 16S ribosomal RNA". It matches the Rfam family "Bacterial small subunit ribosomal RNA", at positions 568 to 774 of the family's 1533-position model. The record is from RNAcentral.